This is a small nucleolar RNA of Vicia villosa (hairy vetch), 107 nucleotides long. Lineage: Eukaryota; Viridiplantae; Streptophyta; Magnoliopsida; Fabales; Fabaceae. The record is from RefSeq and is a predicted model, not a curated record.
AGUCAAAUGUGGGGUCAUAAUCUAAGCAUUUCCUUAAAUUGCUCCCAUGUUUCGUAGUGGAGUUCCUCAUCCUUUUGAGUAAAUUUAGUAAUUUGAUUUCUCAGUUG